CAUCCUGGGGCUGAAGUCGGUCCCAAGGGUAUGGCUGUUCGCCAUUUAAAGUGGUACGCGAGCUGGGUUUAGAACGUCGUGAGACAGUUCGGUCCCUAUCUGCCGUGGGCGUUGGAAGAUUGAAGGGGGCUGCUCCUAGUACGAGAGGACCGGAGUGGACGAACCUCUGGUGUUCGGGUUGUGUCGCCAGACGCAUUGCCCGGUAGCUAAGUUCGGAAUCGAUAACCGCUGAAAGCAUCUAAGCGGGAAGCGAGCCCUGAGAUGAGUCUUCCCUGAUACUUUAAGUAUCCUAAAGGGUUGUCGGAGACUACGACGUUGAUAGGUCAGGUGUGUAAGUGCUGUGAGGCAUUGAGCUAACUGAUACUAAUUGCCCGUGAGGCUUAACCAUACAACACCCAAGGGGUUU
This 406-nucleotide ribosomal RNA is filed under the name Vibrio parahaemolyticus. RNAcentral describes it as "partial 23S ribosomal RNA". It matches the Rfam family "Bacterial large subunit ribosomal RNA", at positions 2543 to 2925 of the family's 2925-position model. The record is from RNAcentral. Lineage: Bacteria; Pseudomonadati; Pseudomonadota; Gammaproteobacteria; Vibrionales; Vibrionaceae.